Molecule: long non-coding RNA, 451 nt
Filed under: Cyanistes caeruleus (blue tit)
Lineage: Eukaryota; Metazoa; Chordata; Aves; Passeriformes; Paridae
Description: lncRNA (ENSCCEG00000012201.1)
Source: RNAcentral
AUGAAUAAUAAUAAUAAUAAUAAAAAAAGAACAUUUUAAAAGAAUUUUGGGCUAAAUACCAAAUUCUCAAAUCUACAAGAUCCGCUUUUUAUUAUUUACCCAUCACAGUCUUGACGUUAUUUGAUAAUGCAGCUGCUGAUGUUUGCUCCAUGAAACCAAUUGUCUUGUGAAGGUCUGCUCUGGCCAACACAGCAAGAAAGGAAAUUUCCUGUGGAGUGGCUUUUAUUGUGAAGCAUGGCAGGAAUGACUUCUCUGACCCAACAUGUGAAGUGGCCUCCCAAACAAAUACAAUUUUGAUAAUUUGCUUAUUUAUAGCAUGCUGCACUUUCUAGUCUUACUCAUGAUCAGGGUGCCAAUUUGCAAACACACAAAGACUUUUUGUUGAAGUGGGUAGAGCAGGCAAAGAGAUAAGUAAGGAAACAGGAAAAUAAAAUGUCUUUUUUUUUCUCCA